Molecule: transfer RNA, 72 nt
Filed under: Microscillaceae bacterium
Lineage: Bacteria; Pseudomonadati; Bacteroidota; Cytophagia; Cytophagales; Microscillaceae
Description: tRNA-Ser
Rfam family: tRNA
About the family: Transfer RNA (tRNA) molecules are approximately 80 nucleotides in length. Their secondary structure includes four short double-helical elements and three loops (D, anti-codon, and T loops). Further hydrogen bonds mediate the characteristic L-shaped molecular structure. tRNAs have two regions of fundamental functional importance: the anti-codon, which is responsible for specific mRNA codon recognition, and the 3' end, to which the tRNAs corresponding amino acid is attached (by aminoacyl-tRNA synthetases). tRNAs cope with the degeneracy of the genetic code in two manners: having more than one tRNA (with a specific anti-codon) for a particular amino acid; and 'wobble' base-pairing, i.e. permitting non-standard base-pairing at the 3rd anti-codon position.
Source: RNAcentral
GCCUUCUUAGCUCAAUUGGCAGAGCGUUCUACGGCUAGAGGAAAGAUGUGGGUUCGAAUCCUACAGAGGGCG